UACGUAGGUCCCGAGCGUCGUCCGGAUUUAUUGGGCGUAAAGCGAGCGCAGGUGGUUUAUUAAGUCUGGUGUAAAAGGCAGUGGCUCAACCAUUGUAUGCAUUGGAAACUGGUAGUCUUGAGUGCAGGAGAGGAGAGUGGAAUUCCAUGUGUAGCGGUGAAAUGCGUAGAUAUAUGGAGGAACACCGGUGGCGAAAGCGGCUCUCUGGCCUGUAACUGACACUGAGGCUCGAAAGCGUGGGGAGCAAACAGG
Molecule: ribosomal RNA, 252 nt
Filed under: uncultured bacterium
Lineage: Bacteria
Description: partial 16S ribosomal RNA
Rfam family: Bacterial small subunit ribosomal RNA
Source: RNAcentral